UUAAGCCUACGGGGCGCAGCAGUGGGGGAUAUUGCACAAUGGGGGCAACCCUGAUGCAGCGACGCCGCGGGAGCGAGGGAGUACUUCGGUAUGUAAGGCUCUGUCAGCAGGGAAGAGAAUGACGGUACCUGACCAAGAAGCCCCGGCUAAAUACGUGCCAGCAGCCGCGGGAAUACGUAUGGGGCAAGCGUUAUCCGGAUUUACUGGGUGUAAAGGGAGCGUAGGCGGCAGGGCAAGCCUGAGGUGAAA
Molecule: ribosomal RNA, 249 nt
Filed under: uncultured bacterium
Lineage: Bacteria
Description: partial 16S ribosomal RNA
Rfam family: Bacterial small subunit ribosomal RNA
Source: RNAcentral